CCUUGUGUUUCAGUUUUAACUAUUAACCAAUAGUGGAAAAACAAGGAUGCCUAAGUUAUGCCUUCAGAGCCAAUAGGGUGGAUUUGUGUGCCUCACAUGACAGCAUUUCCCUUGUCUUUCACAUGGGCCGUAUUUAGUUCAAUUCAGAACUGCAGAUAGUACAGCUUGCACAGCAGCAAUGGGAUGUCUGAGCACAAGUGGCUGAAUUCCGAGUGACUUAAUGAAGCACUUUUAUACUUUCCUUCUGCAUUAAAUUGGGAUCUGCAUCCUUGACAUUCACUCACCACACUCAUCUCUACUGAAGGAAACAGUGACUAGCACAGCCUUGCAGUAUGAAACUGCCCUAUGCUCAAAUACCACAAAGGAGGGCAUAAGAAGCAGCACUGAACAGAAUAUGAAGGCAAAAUUCCAGUUGACUUCCAUGUUUAUCUGCAUCAGAGGAAUCGGAGCAGAAUUGCAGACCAACAAAUGAAGUGAGCUGAAGGCAAUUUGACCAAAUGUUUUCUGUGUGAAUUCCACAGAGGCUGAUGAAGCAUGUUAUCAGGUCUCCAAGGUACAGCACAGACAUUAGUCUGUUGUGCCAUAAAAUUAAGGAAUUAUUAGAGUAAGCUAUUUUCUUGACCUAGAUGAAAAUAACAGGAAUACAGAGAAGUCUUGUACUCUGCACUGAAGUGUAUCUUUCCUAACUGACGCUUACUAACAUGUUAUUAAACAUAUGCCAGCUCUGCCAAAUAAUCAGGAAAUGCAGGCACCCGAGCACAAGGGCAGAGACUGGCUUUUAAGAAGCUCCACCUGUCUCAUGCAGAGUGCAACAUAGUGUUUGAAUGAUAGACAAAAAGGACCAAGAUGAAAGUGAUUUCAAAGCAAUCCUGUAAGCCUUUUUGCAGGAAUCAAAAUAAUAUAGAGACUGAAAUAAAUGGACAAGAGUUUGAAAUAGGCUAUAAAAUAUCAUGGCAAAUUUUAAAUUUAUUUUGUAGAAAAGGAUCAAGUAAAUGAUGCCUCCUAAUAAGGCACAUGACAAUCUCAAUUAUGAGAAUCAUUAUUCUAGGCACUGUGUGCUGUUUUAUAUUCCCAGCAGGAUGUUUUUCAUCUCAUCAAGAGUUUCCAAGGCUGUCUAGUGUUUCUGUAUAUGCAAAACAUAUUUGAGCUUCACUCCCUCCCCACGUCCCCAGCCCAAAGCUUCACUAAUUAAAAAAGCCCUGUCAAGUGGGUAGACAUACUGGAAUUAGAGGAUUAUAGGUAAGAGGAAUGAAAUGAAGGGUUGAAAGCUAUAAUUUCUCUUUCUGUGGUAGCAGCAGAAGUAGCUGUUAUAGACAGGCAAGUUAAAAAAAGUGUCUGCCUUGGCUAGCAAGCUUUGUAAUAUCUUGUUCCCCAACAGAAAGUCAUCCGAACCUCACUUGUAAGAUGCAAUAACUGCUGGGUUGUCUCUUUCUCCCUCUUCCCAUUUCUCUCAUCUCAUGAAAGCACUACACCCUCCGGCUGAUUUCCUUCCGGUCCUUGCUUACUGAUUCCACUCCUUCCAUUCCCUCACCAUUUUUGUCCUGCUGCGUUAACAGUAAUUCCUAGGCCUUUGACUAGUGUUCCAUGCUGGGAGCUGCUAGCAAACAAAGAGAACACUUUUAAAAAGGAGAGAAAUUGAAAUGAAGAGGGGAGAAACAACCAUGGUUCUAUCCAUUUUUGUAUACACAGUUACGAUUGUGUAUAAAUAAUCUCUCACAUUGAACAAUGUUAACUUUUUUUCUCCCAUCGCAAAAUUGGUUGACCGGACAGAUAACCACGAUAGUGAAAAUUCCCUCUCAAAAGUUCUUUAGGAAAAAGACAAAAUUACUAAUGUGCAUGUAAGAAAUAUGGUAAAGUAAUUAUCUAUUUGUAGCUGAAUGUUUUCCGACAGAAUGGGGGCUUCCUGUCUCCCCAAUCCAUUUUCCAGUCUAUUUACUCUGAAUCUCACAGAAAAAGUUGCUGUAUUAUCUUUAAAACUACUUGUCACGUGAUGGUGUGUGUGUUAUUCUCUAGUACUGCAAUUGCUUGAAGCUCUGUGGGAUACUGCACCCAAAGAAAGGUGAACCACUGGAAAAAAACAAAAAACAAAAAACAAAAAAAAAACAAACCACACAUACAUAUGUGAAAGGCUCAGACUUUGGCCCAGAUUCUUAGUUCUGCACCAGCUGCAGAUUCCCCCAGAACAUGGGAAAUCGUGGCUACCCAUUUAGGACAGUUUUCAGGCUCCUUGCACAGCAGAGCCAGGAUUUGUCCCCUUUUGUGCCUGCGUGUUUAGAUUGUGACAUCAUCCCAUCUGUCUAGUCAAUUUAUGUGUGGGGGUCUGCAGUCAAAACAAAUUUAUCACCUCAGAUUUGCUAUUGGUGUGUUGCCUAGGAGCUGGGAUUUCAAACAUUGCUGUAGCUUUUGAUUCUGUUGUUGUCAUCAACGAUAGUGCUGCCUUAUAUGGUGUCUUUCAUCGCAGGGUCGCAAAAGCAUCAUUAUGAACAUUAAGGAAAUCAAUCUUAUAGAGGAGCUGUGAGGCAAGUAGUGUAUCCAUUUUAUGGAUGAAAAACGGAGUCACAGAGGUUAAGUGAUCUGUCCUGGGUCAUACAGUGAAUUAGUGACAGCAAAGCUAGCACUUCAGGUCCGACUGAACAUUCGUAUGUGCCCUCCUCCUUCACUGCUAACAUCAAUUUGUUGUCCACUCUUCUGCAUAGGGCCAAACUAAGAGCAUGGGAGAUUAGCAAAGUGAUCCUGUAGGCUACACCCCAAAGCUAGUCAAGUCUCAUUUUACAGAGAAAAUACAGGUUUGGCAAAGGUCUUUAGGUUCUUCCCACAGAUCCUGCUUCAUAAACUGGACCUGGCUGUGUGUUCCUUUCAAGUCUAGUGAUUAGCUGACAUUUAGCAUCGGUUUAAUAAUUUCCAACCUAUCUUCAUAAGAAAGAGGGCAAGGAAUUUAAGAAGGGAAAUUGUAUUUUUGCAUUUCUACUUCCAUCACAUUACAGGGGUCCAGGACCUUGUAGUGGGUAGUAAGUGGGGGCAGGAAGAGGAAAAGGAUGGCUCCCAAGAGCCAGAGCAAGGAACUGGACCCAGGAGUCAUGGCUUCCACACCAGUGUUCUGUUCACUAAACACUUAACUGCAGCUUUUGACUAGCAGUGCUGAUUUUUG
This is a non-coding RNA of Chelonoidis abingdonii (Abingdon island giant tortoise), 3148 nucleotides long. The record is from RefSeq and is a predicted model, not a curated record. NCBI's taxonomy places the organism in Eukaryota, Metazoa, Chordata, Testudines, Testudinidae.